CAGCGGGUAGUUUAAUUAAAAUUAUAAUUUUGGAUAUUAUGGAUAGGGUUUCCUUCUGCUGA
This 62-nucleotide transfer RNA is filed under the name Ischnobaenella hainana. RNAcentral's name for it is "tRNA-Pro". Lineage: Eukaryota; Metazoa; Arthropoda; Insecta; Hemiptera; Reduviidae. The record is from RNAcentral.